GGCUUAUGGUAUUUUUAAAGCAACAAUCAUACCAGGCACACAGAUCCCAUGUGAAAUAACUUACAAUAAAACAGAGUAAUAAACUUAUACUUCUAUGCAACAGAAAGAAUAAAGUAAAAAGAUUUAAGUAGGUCUAUCAGGUACAACCUGUGAGUCAUUUCUUUUCUAAUAUACAGUACUGCUAUCUUGCAGAAAGAUAAGUCCUGCGCUCACUCCCA
Non-coding RNA from Pelobates cultripes (western spadefoot toad), 218 nucleotides. The record is from the annotation of a GenBank genome assembly. NCBI's taxonomy places the organism in Eukaryota, Metazoa, Chordata, Amphibia, Anura, Pelobatidae.